CCUGUAGCUAAAACUAACCCCCCCACUUUUGACAAAAGGUGGCGCUAUAGAGUGCCUCAUUCACGCCCUUUUAAAAGCUUUUGCCAUUGUCUAGCUAUCACUAAUACUGAUAUGUGUUUUGAGUUUCAUGUAAAUCUGAGCUUGUUGUCUGCCUCAAACUCACCAUAACAGAACAUUCAAGUUUGACACGUUGCCAUGGCAACACUAUAUCAGAUAUCAAUAUCCCCACAACAGAUUUACAUCGGCCGUGUUUUGUCAUUAUUCUGAUGAAGUUUUAAGUAAAUCGAGUAAAAAUAAGAUGCUGAAUUCAAAGCAUUUGGAAAAUGACACACUUCCUGCUGCCAGUUGGUGGCGCUAUAACGUUGACUCUUAAUAGCCACAUAUAUACAAUCGGUAUCAUACAACGAACAAACCCAUGAAGUUUGAUCAAAUUCAGGAAAUGUAUGUGGAUGUUAUUAGACAUUUCCUGUUUCUCAUUUCUCGCCAUAAGUUCCAUGCCUCGCCACGGGCAAACCGUUCGAGAUAUCAAAAAUCCCCUCGCAAUUUUUCAUCCUCAAUGUCUUGAGAUCAUGUUCACCGAGUUUCGUGGCGAACGGGUUGAAAACCUCAGAGGAGUAUUUCAAAUUCCAGAGCAUGCUUUUUUUAAACAGCCCUGAAUAGCUGACUUCCUGUUGGGCGGAGCCUAUGACAUAAAGUGUGAAAGUUGUUCGGCUCAAUGAGAUCUAUAAGUGUACCGAGUUUGAUAUAAAUACAUGCAAGUGUGUGUGAGCUAUGGUUCAAGAAUUCUGACUGUCUUCCAGGGGGCGCUGUAGAGCCCCUGUGCCACGCCCGGGUCCCAGCCUCUGCGGCGUCCUGAUGGCCGCAGAUUCCAAUGUGUGUGCCAAUUUUCAAGAGUUUUUGAGCAUGUUAAGGCCCCCAAAACACCCCGGAAGGUUUAAUAAAAAAUAAAAAUAAUAAUAAUAAUUAAAGCUGCAAGCAGCGAUGGCGGGCUCAAGCCACCAAUGCCAUCGCCACCCCGGUGGCAUCAGGUAAACUGUGCCCAGCGGGCACAUGCAUUUACAAUAUCCCUCUGGCAGUGAGGUUUUAAAGGAUAUGGCAGUUAAAGGGCUAAUCCGAAUCAUCUAGACUUUAAAAUCACAUUAACACAGAACAAUCUAUAUAUAUAUAUAUAUAUAUAGAACUUUAGUAACACUUUACAAUAAGAUUCCAUUUAUAAACAUUGUGUUAACAUGAACAAUAUUUAUAUAGCAUUCAUUCAUGUCAGUUAAUAUUCCAAACUUAAACAUUAAAACAUUGUUUUAUUGUGAUUUUUUUCCAAGCACAUUUUACCAAUUCCAAACCAUAUCAAUCUUAAUAACUACCAUUAUUUUUUAUUUAAUCAUUUAUGAGUGCUAUACAAUAGUCAAGGAAAGCUGGAAGAGAAAAACAGGUCAAGAAGAACUGACAAAAGAAUUGCAAAAUAUUAGGAAUUAAUGUGAAGAUAAAUUUUUAGUCAAUUCUGCAAGACAGACUUUCAGGAAAGGAGGUGGAAUAAAAAUGAGCUCCUAAAUCUUAAUCCUGGAUUCUGGAAGAUAUAUUCCUCAAACCAUCGAACAAGAGGAGGUGGUGCUGGUCCUUCACGAGUCACUCUAAUCUGUUUAUUAAGCCUAUAUAUAAAGUCUUAAUAUAUAGUAUUUCACAAUACUUCAUGGUAUUCUAAUUAAAUCAUUUUUUGGAAUCUUAAGUCUCUCAGAACCUGACACAUUGUAAUUCUGAGACUCCAGGAAAGUGGCAGUUCUGUAAAAUGUUGGCGCUGGAGACUAAAUGCUCCCUGAUAGUUUCACACCUAAUUCACUUAACACACACACACACACACACACACACACACACACACACACACACACACACACACACGCACACACACACACUACCCACAGUGACAGAGGGACAGAGUGACAUCAGAUGUAUGAUAGUUUUUUUUAAUUUUCUAUCAUCCAUAUAGUGUUGUAUAGUCAUGAAACUAUGCAUAUUUCCUCAGAAUGACUUGUAUUCUAUGUGUAAUUUUUUUUUUUAAAGUGUUUAGAAGCUGCACUUUAAAAAAAUAAAAGACAUUUACUGGUUACUUUUUUACUGUUAUUUCAAAAAAUCACCACGACAAAACCAUUCAAGCUAUCCAAAAUUCAUUCGCACCUGUUCUGUAAGAUUAAUUCUUUAAACAGUGGUAAAAGAGGAUGUGGUGCUGAACCUUCAAGAGUCACUCAAAACGUAUCUGUCUUAUAAAGAAUUAUUCUUAAUAUACACUUCACAAUACUUCAGCUUGUUAUUCUAAUUAAGUGAGGGUCAUUUUAUCAGUAAAAUACAUAAAAUUCAUAUUAUUUUUCUUUGAAAGAUUUCUAUAAAUGAUUUAAAUCAUACUCGUUUCUACAAUAAUUAUUUAAAAGUAAUCCUAUAGCUCCCUCUGGUGGCCAUUAUUGGUACUAAGAAUUGCAAGCUUGAUUUAUAAGUUAUGAUAGUUUUAAUUUUAUGCUGGCUCUUGAAAAUGAUAAAGCUAUGAAACUUACUGUGCUUCCUUCAAAUGAUGACUUCUACGUAUAUAAAAAAUUAUGAAGAGUUGGAAUGAAAAAUUUUAAAGAUAUAGUAAAAUAACUAUUGUAUUUUUUUAUGUUACUUUAAUAAAUCGCUAUGGCCACACCAUUUAAGGUAUCCUAAACCCAUUCGCAAUUUAACAUCUUCAGUAUAUUAGCUUCAUGCUAAAAAAAUUUGGUGUGAACUACUUGUGUCUUCUUGGAAGAGUAUGAAUUCAUUUACAGGCUGAUUUUAUCAUAAAUCCACAAUAAAAUUUCUGAGUUCUGUAUC
Long non-coding RNA from Carassius gibelio (silver crucian carp), 2835 nucleotides. RefSeq lists it as uncharacterized. NCBI's taxonomy places the organism in Eukaryota, Metazoa, Chordata, Actinopteri, Cypriniformes, Cyprinidae. The record is from RefSeq and is a predicted model, not a curated record. The transcript has 3 exons.